UAUGAACAACUUUCUCUAGUACGAAAGGACCGGGAAAGUAAGGCCAAUGUAUAAACCCACGCCUUCCCUAAAAGUAAUGAUAAUGUCUUAAUUACUAAAAGGCUAACCUACUAUCAUGCCCUAGAAAAGGACUCA
Molecule: ribosomal RNA, 135 nt
Filed under: Trogon curucui
Lineage: Eukaryota; Metazoa; Chordata; Aves; Trogoniformes; Trogonidae
Description: partial 16S ribosomal RNA
Source: RNAcentral